AAAUUGAAGAGUUUGAUCAUGGCUCAGAUUGAACGCUGGCGGCAGGCCUAACACAUGCAAGUCGAACGGUAACAGGAAGCAGCUUGCUGCUUUGCUGACGAGUGGCGGACGGGUGAGUAAUGUCUGGGAAACUGCCUGAUGGAGGGGGAUAACUACUGGAAACGGUGGCUAAUACCGCAUAACGUCGCAAGACCAAAGAGGGGGACCUUCGGGCCUCUUGCCAUCAGAUGUGCCCAGAUGGGAUUAGCUUGUUGGUGAGGUAACGGCUCACCAAGGCGACGAUCCCUAGCUGGUCUGAGAGGAUGACUAGCCACACUGGAACUGAGACACGGUCCAGACUCCUACGGGAGGCAGCAGUGGGGAAUAUUGCACAAUGGGCGCAAGCCUGAUGCAGCCAUGCCGCGUGUAUGAAGAAGGCCUUCGGGUUGUAAAGUACUUUCAGCGGGGAGGAAGGUGUUGUGGUUAAUAACCGCAGC
This 476-nucleotide ribosomal RNA is filed under the name Salmonella enterica. Its description in RNAcentral is "bacterial SSU rRNA". It matches the Rfam family "Bacterial small subunit ribosomal RNA", at positions 1 to 473 of the family's 1533-position model. Lineage: Bacteria; Pseudomonadati; Pseudomonadota; Gammaproteobacteria; Enterobacterales; Enterobacteriaceae. The record is from RNAcentral. RNAcentral also lists the same sequence under 1 other name.